This 819-nucleotide ribosomal RNA is filed under the name Rhodotorula mucilaginosa. RNAcentral's name for it is "partial large subunit ribosomal RNA". It matches the Rfam family "Eukaryotic large subunit ribosomal RNA", at positions 84 to 923 of the family's 3401-position model. Lineage: Eukaryota; Fungi; Basidiomycota; Microbotryomycetes; Sporidiobolales; Sporidiobolaceae. The record is from RNAcentral.
UAGCGGCGAGCGAAGCGGGAAGAGCUCAAAUUUAUAAUCUGGCACCUUCGGUGUCCGAGUUGUAAUCUCUAGAAAUGUUUUCCGCGUUGGACCGCACACAAGUCUGUUGGAAUACAGCGGCAUAGUGGUGAGACCCCCGUAUAUGGUGCGGACGCCCAGCGCUUUGUGAUACAUUUUCGAAGAGUCGAGUUGUUUGGGAAUGCAGCUCAAAUUGGGUGGUAAAUUCCAUCUAAAGCUAAAUAUUGGCGAGAGACCGAUAGCGAACAAGUACCGUGAGGGAAAGAUGAAAAGCACUUUGGAAAGAGAGUUAACAGUACGUGAAAUUGUUGGAAGGGAAACGCUUGAAGUCAGACUUGCUUGCUGAGCAAUCGGUUUGCAGGCCAGCAUCAGUUUUCCGGGAUGGAUAAUGGUAGAGAGAAGGUAGCAGUUUCGGCUGUGUUAUAGCUCUCUGCUGGAUACAUCUUGGGGGACUGAGGAACGCAGUGUGCCUUUGGCGGGGGUUUCGACCUCUUCACACUUAGGAUGCUGGUGGAAUGGCUUUAAACGACCCGUCUUGAAACACGGACCAAGGAGUCUAACAUGCUUGCGAGUAUUUGGGUGUCAAACCCGGAUGCGUAAUGAAAGUGAAUGGAGGUGGGAACCGCAAGGUGCACCAUCGACCGAUCUGGAUUUUUAAUGAUGGAUUUGAGUAAGAGCACGUAUGUUGGGGACCCGAAAGAUGGUGAACUAUGCCUGAAUAGGGCGAAGCCAGAGGAAACUCUGGUGGAGGCUCGUAGCGGUUCUGACGUGCAAAUCGAUCGUCAAAUUUGGGUAUAGGGG